This is a long non-coding RNA of Alexandromys fortis (reed vole), 221 nucleotides long. RefSeq lists it as uncharacterized. NCBI's taxonomy places the organism in Eukaryota, Metazoa, Chordata, Mammalia, Rodentia, Cricetidae. The record is from RefSeq and is a predicted model, not a curated record. The transcript has 2 exons.
GAGAAACUGAUUGAGUGGCAUGUCUCAUCAUGAAGGCAUGGGAGGAUGUAGAGGAUUCCCUGAGUUCUAAGGGGAGAGAUUUGAUGAAGACAUUCCAUUUAAGACUGAGCGUUUCAAGGUCUCUCACUCUCUGCAUACUGUCUGAUUGUGAGUUUCUGUGUUUGUUCCCAUCUUUUGCAGGAAGAAGCUUCUUUGAUUAUGAACAAGGCAUUGGUACAAGG